AGGGGGUGGCGUACCAUUUGCAGUGUUUGCAGCUUGUGGGAUAGCUGGUGGGUUACUUGUAAUGUACCUGCCUGAGACCUUAAAUAGGCCAUUAUAUGAUACAAUGGCUGGAAUGGAAGAAGCAGAGGCAGAAAAACCAUGUAUUCUUGCUGGUAAUUUACCUGCCUGAGACCUUAAAUAGGCCAUUAUAUGAUACAAUGGCUGGAAUGGAAGAAGCAGAGGCAGAAAAACCAUGUAUUCUUGCUUAAUUUUGCUACCUUUUUCUUGUUAAAAUCGUAUUUUUAGUUUGUGACUAUUUGUACUUUAUUAUGGGAGAACUAUUUUUGGAUUGUACGUAGAUUUACUAUUAUACCUCUUAAAUUUGGUAUUCGUAAUAUGGAAGCUCAAAAUUAUGCUCUACGCUGUUGAUAGUAGGAG
This 417-nucleotide long non-coding RNA is filed under the name Nicotiana benthamiana. Its description in RNAcentral is "long non-coding RNA (NBEN_LNC006363)". Lineage: Eukaryota; Viridiplantae; Streptophyta; Magnoliopsida; Solanales; Solanaceae. The record is from RNAcentral.